Molecule: long non-coding RNA, 210 nt
Filed under: Ananas comosus (pineapple)
Lineage: Eukaryota; Viridiplantae; Streptophyta; Magnoliopsida; Poales; Bromeliaceae
Description: long non-coding RNA (ACOM_LNC015479)
Source: RNAcentral
UUUUAUUCUAAUUUUAUUAUCUAUUAAAUAAUAAAAUGAUGAUGACAUUUUCAGUUAGUUUAAUUAUGAAUUUUGUGUUUUUUUAUGAUACUGUAAAAUAUUUAUUUAUGAAAAAUUUUAUUUUUUUUUGUAUUUUAUGCAAUUUGCAUUGCACGUGCACUUAACUAGUACACAAUAAAUUUUGAUUUAUAAUAAUAUUGAGCGAUGAUU